GACGAACGCUGGCGGCGCGCCUAAUACAUGCAAGUCGAACGGACACCUUCGGGUGUUAGUGGCGGACGGGUGAGUAACACGUGGGCGACCUGCCUUUGAGUGGGGAAUAACGCUGGGAACCAGCGCUAAUACCGCAUACGCUCGCUGCUUCAGCGCAGUGAGGAAAGCUUUAUGUGCUCAAAGAGGGGCCUGCGGCGGAUUAGCUAGUCGGUGGGGUGACGGCCUACCGAGGCGACGAUCCGUAGCUGGUCUGAGAGGAUGAUCAGCCACACUGGGACUGAGACACGGCCCAGACUCCUACGGGAGGCAGCAGUAAGGAAUCUUCCGCCAAUGGGGGCAACCCUGACGGAGCGACGCCGCGUGGACGAAGAAGCC
This 375-nucleotide ribosomal RNA is filed under the name uncultured bacterium. RNAcentral describes it as "bacterial SSU rRNA". It matches the Rfam family "Bacterial small subunit ribosomal RNA", at positions 28 to 415 of the family's 1533-position model. The record is from RNAcentral.